Acanthosepion pharaonis is the source of this 99-nucleotide non-coding RNA. Lineage: Eukaryota; Metazoa; Mollusca; Cephalopoda; Sepiida; Sepiidae. The record is from the annotation of a GenBank genome assembly.
CGUUGACACACUAGUACCCGAACGAUCACUGAAGUUGAGCAACAUCGAGCUUGGGCAGUACUUAGAUAGGUAACCGCUUGGGAAUAUCAUGUGCUGUAA